Molecule: transfer RNA, 74 nt
Filed under: Neotoma lepida (desert woodrat)
Lineage: Eukaryota; Metazoa; Chordata; Mammalia; Rodentia; Cricetidae
Rfam family: tRNA
About the family: Transfer RNA (tRNA) molecules are approximately 80 nucleotides in length. Their secondary structure includes four short double-helical elements and three loops (D, anti-codon, and T loops).
Source: Rfam by way of RNAcentral
AGAGAGAUGGCUCAGUGGUUAAGAGUGCUUGCUUUGAAAGCAAGGUGAUUUAAGCCCAAAUCUCUAGUACUCUU